ACGAGCGAGGGUCCUCGUGGCCCAACCUCCCAACCCUUUGUUUACUGAACCUCAUGUUGCUUCGGCGGGCCCGUCUCACGACCGCCGGGGGAGUUCGACCUCCCCUGGCCCGCGCCCGCCGGUGGCCAACCAUUUAAAAACUCUUGAUUAAACCGUGUCCUAUUGCCUAAGUCAUGAUUAUUCAAUCAAAAACA
RNAcentral lists this unclassified non-coding RNA (194 nucleotides) under uncultured fungus. Its description in RNAcentral is "sequence contains ITS1, 5.8S rRNA gene". Lineage: Eukaryota; Fungi. The record is from RNAcentral.